Molecule: ribosomal RNA, 112 nt
Filed under: Caerostris darwini
Lineage: Eukaryota; Metazoa; Arthropoda; Arachnida; Araneae; Araneidae
Source: RNAcentral
AACGGCCGUACCGUGCUGAAUAUACCGGUUCUCGUUAGAUCACCGAAGUUAAGCAGCAUUGGGCGCGGUCAGUACUUGGGUGGGUGACCACCUGGGAACACUGCGUGCCGUU